Molecule: ribosomal RNA, 423 nt
Filed under: uncultured bacterium
Lineage: Bacteria
Description: bacterial SSU rRNA
Rfam family: Bacterial small subunit ribosomal RNA
Source: RNAcentral
UCUUCCGCAAUGGACGAGAGUCUGACGGAGCAACGCCGCGUGAGUGAAGAAGGCCUCCGGGUCGUAAAACUCUGUUGCCGGGGAAGAANAAGUGCCGUUCGAACAGGGCGGUGCCCUGACGGUACCCGGCCAGAAAGCCACGGCUAACUACGUGCCAGCAGCCGCGGUAAUACGUAGGUGGCAAGCGUUGUCCGGAAUUAUUGGGCGUAAAGCGCGCGCAGGCGGCUUCUUAAGUCUGAUGUGAAAUCUUGCGGCUCAACCGCAAGCGGUCAUUGGAAACUGGGAGGCUUGAGUGCAGAAGAGGAGAGUGGAAUUCCACGUGUAGCGGUGAAAGGCGUAGAGAUGUGGAGGAACACCAGUGGCGAAGGCAGCUCUCUGGUCUGUAGCUGACGCUGAGGCGCGAAAGCGUGGGGAGCAAACAGG